This 93-nucleotide transfer RNA is filed under the name Caudoviricetes sp. Its description in RNAcentral is "tRNA-Ser". The record is from RNAcentral. Lineage: Duplodnaviria; Heunggongvirae; Uroviricota; Caudoviricetes.
GGUAACUAUCUGUUUUUAAAUAAAAGCAGUUCGGUCUCGAAAACCGGAGUAGGGGCAACUCUACCGGGGGUUCAAAUCCCCCUCUCUCCGCCA